GGAAGCGGCGCCAUUGGAGCGGCCAGGGAUUGCGGAGAGCGAUCCAUUCCCAACCACCCCAAAACGGGUGAAAAAACGAAAAAAAAAAAAAAAAA
This is a long non-coding RNA of Ficedula albicollis (Collared flycatcher), 95 nucleotides long. RefSeq lists it as uncharacterized. The transcript is spliced from 2 exons. NCBI's taxonomy places the organism in Eukaryota, Metazoa, Chordata, Aves, Passeriformes, Muscicapidae. The record is from RefSeq and is a predicted model, not a curated record.